Molecule: ribosomal RNA, 420 nt
Filed under: Triticum aestivum (bread wheat)
Lineage: Eukaryota; Viridiplantae; Streptophyta; Magnoliopsida; Poales; Poaceae
Description: partial small subunit ribosomal RNA
Source: RNAcentral
AUGACGUUCAAGCGGAGGAACGGCGGGCGCAACAAGCAUGGCCGCGGCCACGUCAAGUACAUCCGCUGCUCCAACUGCGCCAAGUGCUGCCCCAAGGACAAGGCUAUCAAGCGUUUCUUGGUGAGGAACAUCGUGGAGCAGGCUGCUGUGAGAGAUGUGCAGGAGGCUUGUGUGCAUGAUGGAUAUGUGCUUCCCAAGCUGUACGCCAAGGUGCACCACUGUGUGUCUUGUGCCAUCCAUGCCCACAUUGUCCGUGUCCGCUCGCGUGAGAACAGGAGGAACCGUGAGCCCCCGCAGCGUUUCAGGCGCAGGGAUGAUGGCCCGAGGCCUGGACAGGGUGGCCCGCCCCGUGCUGGUGGACCUGGUGGCGCGCCUGCUGGCGCUGGUGCCGUUCCUGGUGCUCCUGCUCCCCGUGUCUAG